CUUGUAGAGUUUAUUGGCAUUCUGUCCACCUCCCUUAACUAGAUAUUUUUCUAAAUAUAUCGGAGGUGGACACACUGCCAAUUGAACUCUGUUAG
Molecule: non-coding RNA, 95 nt
Organism: Cicer arietinum (chickpea)
Lineage: Eukaryota; Viridiplantae; Streptophyta; Magnoliopsida; Fabales; Fabaceae
Source: Rfam